This 848-nucleotide long non-coding RNA is filed under the name Anthonomus grandis grandis. RNAcentral describes it as "uncharacterized LOC126738631". The record is from RNAcentral. Lineage: Eukaryota; Metazoa; Arthropoda; Insecta; Coleoptera; Curculionidae.
CUACUUUGGUGCAAUGGUUCAACAAAAUCAAUGCCUAUUGAUUAAAAUACAUAGUUUGGAAGUAAACUAGGCAUUAACAGAUCCCUAUCCAGGCUGGACUACUGCUCCCUCAUUUGGUCUCCCAUUUACAACCAGCACAUUCACCUAUUAGAAUCAGUCCAACGGCGAUCCUUAAAUGUUUGGCAUUUAAGGAUGAUGGAGUCUAUCCUCCAAGGGGUUUUGACCAUAACCUGCUGCUCUCUAGAUAUACUGAACGGUCACUUGCGAAGAGGAGAGAAAUGCAUUCGGUGAAAUUCUUGUUUAAUUUACUUAACCAUAAAAUUGACUGCCCAUCCCUUUUGCAAAGGAUUUGCUUUCAUAUACCACGCCUAGGAUCCAGACAGUGUCCAGCUUUUAACUUGGACACAGCCAGGUCCAACAUUCUGUACCAGAGUCCUAUUCACUUUAUGUGUCAAAACUUUAACACUAUUGCUGAUUUUUGUGACAUUCACCACGAUGAUUUGGCACUUAUCUUGAAUCACCUGCGUAUGGUCGGUGGGGGAGGCUAGGUUAUUUAGUUUUUAGUUAUUUAGUUUUUAGCUUGAAUACAUUUAUUUACUAUUUUUUUUUUUGGUCUUUUGAUUUAAAUUAAUUCUUGAUUCUUAUCCUAAUUUAGUGUUGAUUUUUUAUUAUUUAUUUUCUCAAGUUCACUACUUUUUUUUUUUUUUUAUUAUAUAGCAAUUCUUUUAUAGUUUAGUUGCAUGAAUCUAAUACAAUUCAUGCAUUCGUACAUUUAUAUAUUUAAUUGAUUUUCCUGUAACUGGGUAUAUGUAACCUGUUGGAAAUAAAGCUUAUUAUUAUAAGUUUAA